Vidua macroura (Pin-tailed whydah) is the source of this 2320-nucleotide long non-coding RNA. RefSeq lists it as uncharacterized. The record is from RefSeq and is a predicted model, not a curated record. The transcript is spliced from 3 exons. Lineage: Eukaryota; Metazoa; Chordata; Aves; Passeriformes; Viduidae.
UGCCCUGUUUAAAAAUAAAGAAAAAAAAAAAAAAAGAAAAAAGCUUUAUCCCAAGACACCCAUGACAAAACUGCUUUGAGGAAGUGCAGUCAUCCCACACAGAUACACAUCCCUCCUUUAAAUACAAAACCCAAACACCGUUUUUUCCCCAGACUGCACAGUUAGAACCUGUUUUAAAUUACAUUUCUCAGUACGCCCAAGUUGAACAGCAUUUUAUGGAUCAGAAUUUUAGCAUUUAGCAUAAAGCUACAAAUCAGAGUUGGAGCUGGGGAAGGAGAAGCCAUUUAACGUGGAGCCGUGGAGCAGAUGUUGAGCACUCCACUUGCAGGCUCACAAAGCCAGGACAUCUGUUAGAAAUAUGUGAGCAGAGGCACCAUCAAGCCUCUUAGAUGCUGCAGUGAUCCUCUGCCUUUCCUACAUCCUCUUCCAAAUUACACUGAGGUGUAAGGGAAUAGUCCCAUCCCUCACCACCUCCACCAUUCCCAGUCCAUGUUUUUCUGCUUCCAGGCUGGUGCUUCCACACAGUUGAUUCAGGAUCAUUGACCCAAGCAGGUUCUUUUUUUGUUUCAGGGUUUUCAGGACAAAAAGGAAGGGGGGGGGGGGUGAGCUUUUUGUUGGCCUCUUCACAGAGCAGCAGAGAUUUCUCUUGGCAUCAGUUUCCCUCUCAGGAUCCCACUACAGGCUGGUGUGGCAGGGGAGUUUAAUGCAGAACAACCAGAAACAACACAUGGUGAAGCACUCACCCAUAGUGCAAUUAGCAGCCUUCCCCAGAAGCAUUUUUCAAUACCCCAGGGCACUCAGAAUUUGCUGACUGUUUGAUUUGUGCUGCCCCAAAUUCCUGACAUUGCUUAAGCAAACCACAGGACCAGGAAAUAAGUGAUCCUGUCUUCCGAUCCUUUUUUUAUAAGGCUACUGCCUUUGUUUUCUCAGAGAAAAUAAAAUCAAUUUUUUUCCCACCUCUGUCUUCCUGAUCAGAGGAACACCAGUUUAAAUCUCAGCUCCCAAGGGAGAGGGAUUUGUUAAUUUGACAAUACUCCAUUCAAACGCUAAGAGUUCAACAAACACUUGCUCCAAGAUGAGCACACGGAUUUUGUUUGAUUCACAAUGAUUCAAUUAGCAGCCGUCUAAGGAAUUCUGAAAUUUUUCUGGGUAUGAAAACACUGGCUUACAGAGGUUUGUUGUUCUUAAUCCAGAUGUGACCCUGGCAAGCGGAGAUGUGCAAAAAAAAAAAACUCCCCCACACCUAGUCCAGCCAAGGUGAAGGGCACUGCUCACCCCGCACUGGGCUGGACGACAGCCUGCAUCCAUCACCUGAGAGAAGAUAAAUGCUGCUGUCACCCCAGCUCCUGAGCUCCAUCCAUCACUGCUCAACCAGCUGAGUCCCAGCAUGAUUUGCCAUUUGCCUCACUAAGCUGCAGCUCCUGUCCAAAGAGCACACAGGCACCAUGCCCUGUGCAGGCAUUUAGUGAGCACAGCCAGGGCUUGACUCAGUCACUGCAGAGCAACUUUGCAGAUUAAAGCAGAAUUCAGUGUAUGAGAGCAGGUCCUAUGCUUUGCAUGCACAACUGUGGGGUGCAAAGAAAGAUUUGGUACCAGCCUCAGCCUGUCGCCAUUGAGGCAGGACGGGAACAAAGAGACUCCAGUUCAGAAGACGAGAAGAGAACUAAACUCAACUGAUUUCUUUCAAAUACACCACUCUUUUUAUAGAGAACAUAGUGCAGACCAAUUUCAUUGAUCUUAAAGUAAAAACAUCUCACACCAUUGGUGCGCAGUGAAUGGCAUGCGGUGGCAGAACAUAUCUAUAAACAAUGUGAACAACAAGAGAGAUAGUGAAUUAUUUACAUUCCUUUGAAACUCCUUCCCAGGCCCAGCCUGGUAAAAAUCUCUCCUUUUCUCUCUGACUGAACCGAGAAUAUCCAUAUUGGCCCAUACACUAAAAAGGAGCUGGAAGAGGUGUAGGGAAGCAGCAAAGUGCAAUCAGCAAAGAGUAUCAUGUGUCCUCCCCAGUUUGUUUCUGACCAGGACCAGCAAGAGCAGAUUAAUGCUCUUACUGGGAGUGGGACCCUCAUCCAGCUGCUACACCAAAAAAAGGCUGAGCCUUAGGCCUCUUCAGCCCACCCCACUUACUGACACUACUACCAACAUCUCCUUCACAGAGAAGCUCUCUGUGAAGAACCUCUCCUCUAAUUCACUGUAUUAUUUCCUGCCUGAUUUCAGCUAGCUCUGGAAGAGGUUCUGCUCUCAGACCUCUGUGCACUACCUUUGACCUUAUCAAACAAGUCAAUCCCCCAAGUUCAAGAUUGGGACACUUAAAAAUUUU